RNAcentral lists this unclassified non-coding RNA (281 nucleotides) under Hevea brasiliensis (rubber tree). The record is from RNAcentral. Lineage: Eukaryota; Viridiplantae; Streptophyta; Magnoliopsida; Malpighiales; Euphorbiaceae.
AAAACCUUUUUUUUUCAACAAUUAACAUCAAAUACCACCUAUCAUAACAGUUCACACUCCAAGCAAGCAUUCCAGUCAUUAUUCCUACCAAUCCCUAUCCCUCCACCUACCAAUCAGGGAAAUACUAGUAAUAAUGAUAACAAUAGUCAAGACAAGCUAACCCUUGACACCAACUUCAACUGGCUGCCAAUCAAACCACUGAGGCAAAAAGAACCUAGGUGUGCAGGUCACUUUUGCUGAAUGGAGAGAAUGUUAAAUAAUCAAACACUUUACUUGCUGUU